AUUGAACGCUGGCGGCAUGCCUUACACAUGCAAGUCGAACAGCAGCAUGGAGAGCUUGCUCUCUGAUGGCGAGUGGCGAACGGGUGAGUAAUGCAUCGGAACGUACCGUGUAAUGGGGGAUAACGUAGCGAAAGUUACGCUAAUACCGCAUAAUCCCUAAGGGGGAAAGCGGGGGACCGUAAGGCCUCGCGCAAUUAGAGCGGCCGAUACCUGAUUAGCUAGUUGGUGAGGUAAAGGCUCACCAAGGCAACGAUCAGUAGCUGGUCUGAGAGGACGAGCAGCCACACUGGGACUGAGACACGGCCCAGACUCCUACGUGAGGCAGCAGUGGGGAAUUUUGGACAAUGGGGGCAACCCUGAUCCAGCAAUGCCACGUGAGUGAAGAAGGCCUUCGGGUUGUAAAGCUCUUUUGUCAGGGAAGAAACAGCAGCUCUAACACAGUAUGCGAAUGACGGUACCUGAAGAAUAAGCACCGGCUAACUACGUGCCAGCCGCCGCGGUAA
This 503-nucleotide ribosomal RNA is filed under the name uncultured bacterium. Its description in RNAcentral is "partial 16S ribosomal RNA". It matches the Rfam family "Bacterial small subunit ribosomal RNA", at positions 30 to 523 of the family's 1533-position model. The record is from RNAcentral.